RNAcentral lists this non-coding RNA (240 nucleotides) under Phaeobacter inhibens. Lineage: Bacteria; Pseudomonadati; Pseudomonadota; Alphaproteobacteria; Rhodobacterales; Roseobacteraceae. The record is from RNAcentral.
GCUAGCUCUUCGACAGAUGGUUCCUGUAUCGCCCUUGGGUGGUUAGGAUGAAAAGGGAACACGGUGCGAGAUGGCAGACCAGCCAGAUCAAUGCCGCGACUGCCCCCGCAACUGUAAGCGGCGAGCAACCUCGGAUUAUGCCACUGAUGCCAGCGUCCACACGGACCAUGCCGCAUUGGGAAGGCCCCGGGGAUGUGACGACCCGCGAGUCAGGAGACCUGCCAUCCGAUGAGAAACUCG